GACGAACGCUGGCGGCGUGGAUUAGGCAUGCAAGUCGAACGGUAUCAUCCUUUCGGGGGUGAGAGAGUGGCGAACUGGUGAGUAACACGUAGGUUAUCUACCCUCAAGACGGGGACAACCCAGGGAAACUUGGGCUAAUACCGGAUGUGAGCAACUUUUAGUUGUUUGAAAGGUGGCGUAAGCUGUCGCUUGGGGAUGAGCCUGCGUCCUAUUAGUUAGUUGGUGAGGUAACGGCUCACCUAGGCAAUGAUAGGUUAGGCGGCCUUAACGGGUGGUCGCCCACACUGGGAUUGAGAUACGGCCCAGACUCCUACGGGAGGCAGCAGUCGAGAAUAGUCUACAAUGGUCGGAAGACUGAUAGUGCGACGCCGCGUGAACGAUGAAUCCCUUCGGGGUGUAAAGUUCUUUUAUAUGUGAGCAGUGCUUCUUAUAUUAACAGUAUGGGGAGAGAGAUAUUAGCAUAUGAAUAAGCAACGGCUAACUCCGUGCCAGCAGCCGCGGU
Molecule: ribosomal RNA, 502 nt
Filed under: uncultured bacterium
Lineage: Bacteria
Description: bacterial SSU rRNA
Rfam family: Bacterial small subunit ribosomal RNA
Source: RNAcentral